GGGGAAUUUUGGACAAUGGGGGCAACCCUGAUCCAGCCAUGCCGCGUGAGUGAAGAAGGCCUUCGGGUUGUAAAGCUCUUUCGGCCGGGCAGAACUCGUGCAGGCUACUACCCUGUAUGGAUGACUGUACCCGAAUAAGAUGCCCUGCCCAACGCCGUGCCAGCAGCCGCGGUAAUACGUAGGGUGCGAGCGUUAACGGAAUACUGGGCGUAAAGCGUGCGCAGGCGGUUUUGUAAGACAGGCGUGAAAUCCCCGGGCUCAACCUGGGAACUGCGCUUGUGACUGCAAGACUAGAGUACGGCAGAGGGGGGUGGAAUUCCACGUGUAGCAGUGAAAUGCGUAGAGAUGUGGAGGAACACCAAUGGCGAAGGCAGCCCCCUGGGUCGAUACUGACGCUCAUGCACGAAAGCGUGGGGAGCAAACA
RNAcentral lists this ribosomal RNA (424 nucleotides) under uncultured Rhodocyclaceae bacterium. RNAcentral describes it as "bacterial SSU rRNA". It matches the Rfam family "Bacterial small subunit ribosomal RNA", at positions 356 to 774 of the family's 1533-position model. Lineage: Bacteria; Pseudomonadati; Pseudomonadota; Betaproteobacteria; Rhodocyclales; Rhodocyclaceae. The record is from RNAcentral.